UUUAGUGGCAAAAUAAUUUUA
This 21-nucleotide non-coding RNA is filed under the name Caenorhabditis elegans. Lineage: Eukaryota; Metazoa; Nematoda; Chromadorea; Rhabditida; Rhabditidae. The record is from RNAcentral.